RNAcentral lists this long non-coding RNA (792 nucleotides) under Apteryx owenii (little spotted kiwi). Its description in RNAcentral is "lncRNA (ENSAOWG00000006466.1)". Lineage: Eukaryota; Metazoa; Chordata; Aves; Apterygiformes; Apterygidae. The record is from RNAcentral.
CAGCCGUGGGCUGCUGGGGCGCAGGCAGCGGGUGCGGUGGCGGCUGGUGCCCUGCCAGCCCCGCGCCGGGCUCCCGCCUCCAGUGGGUGGAAGCCUCACGUGGGGACUGGCUCGGUCCUGCUCCCACGGCCAGACCUCGUCCAUCACUUGCGUGGCCCUUGGUCGUGGAAAUAAUAGUACCUCUUUACCACAGAAGGUGUUGCAAGAGGAAUUUGUGAAGAACUGUCUGGCAGUUGGGUACUACAGGGAUGGAGGCCACAGAUGUAUCUAUAGAGGCAGAAAAAAGCCUUGAACUAAAGACGGUAAGAAAAUCAACAAAGAGGCUGAGUGAGAAUGGCCAGUUCAAGACUAAGAGAAGGAAGUAGUAUGUUACCCAGCCUACACUUUGCUAGAGGAACUCACUGCUACCAGUUAUCCUUGAGGUCUGGAUUCAUGACUCCGGAGAGGUUAGGAUAUCUGGAGAACAGCAAGCAUGUGAAGAGUUUGAACAGAAGAAGUUUUUGUUAUGCAGACACGGGAAAUAUAGGCAGUGCAUCUGGGUUUGAAAGCUCAGAAAAUCAGCCCACAAAUUCCAAAUAUAAGGACUGGAGUCUCCUCUGGGGUUGUCAACAUUGUCUUCGACAGGUUAGCAUUACCGUGGAGGAGGUUGUCCACAGUCCCAGAGCUGGGAGAAUGAAAGAACUGAAGUUUUGUCUGGCAGUGCAUGGGUUGAGAAGGAAGAUAAGUUCAUUUCUUUCUUCCUCUUCCUUUUGCUCACAUUUGCACAUGGAGGACCUCAAGAAAGGCAGAUAA